RNAcentral lists this ribosomal RNA (457 nucleotides) under uncultured bacterium. RNAcentral's name for it is "bacterial SSU rRNA". It matches the Rfam family "Bacterial small subunit ribosomal RNA", at positions 340 to 786 of the family's 1533-position model. The record is from RNAcentral.
UACGGAAGGCAGCAGUGGGGAAUAUUGCACAAUGGGCGAAAGCCUGAUGCAGCUAUGCCGCGUGUAUGAAGAAGGCCUUAGGGUUGUAAAGUACUUUCAUCGGGGAGGAAAAAACAAAACUAAUAAUUUUAUUUCUUGACGUUACCCGAAAAAGAAGCACCGGCUAACUCCGUGCCAGCAGCCGCGGUAAUACGGAGGGUGCAAGCGUUAAUCGGAAUUACUGGGCGUAAAGCGCACGCAGGCGGUUCUGUUAAAGUCAGAUGUGAAAUCCCCGGGCUUAAACCUGGGAACUGCAUUUUGAAACUGGCAGGCUUGAGUCUCGUAGAGGGGGUAGAAUUCCAGGUGUAGCGGUGAAAUGCGUAGAGAUCUGGAGGAAUACCGGUGGCGAAGGCGGCCCCUGGACGAAGACUGACGCUCAGGGUGCGAAAGCGUGGGGAGCAAACAGGGAUUAGAUACC